This 207-nucleotide ribosomal RNA is filed under the name uncultured bacterium. Its description in RNAcentral is "partial 16S ribosomal RNA". It matches the Rfam family "Bacterial small subunit ribosomal RNA", at positions 568 to 774 of the family's 1533-position model. The record is from RNAcentral.
UCCGUAGGUGGAUUAAUAAGUCAGAGGUGAAAGCCUGCAGCUUAACUGUAGAACUGCCUUUGAUACUGUUAAUCUUGAAUUAUUGUGAAGUAGUUAGAAUAUGUAGUGUAGCGGUGAAAUGCAUAGAUAUUACAUAGAAUACCGAUUGCGAAGGCAGAUUACUAACAAUAUAUUGACACUGAUGGACGAAAGCGUGGGGAGCGAACA